UUAAAGCACUCUUUGGUAUCCAGGCAGCGUAAAGCAAAUGGCCAUGACGUCAGGGACGUGUGGAAAUUUUUUCCAGAGCACGGUCAUAGGAGGUGCUGUUGUAACAAACCAAACACGAAUGCUGUUGUCUGCAGCGUAAUGCCUUUGAGUUUUGUAACAUCAAAAGGCAAACGCUUGGAGGUAGCUUAUUUAAUCAGGUUCCCAGUCAGGAUGCUCUAAACGCCCAAGACACCUUAAAGGUCAAAACUACUCCAAGCCUGCAGCUCGACUCAGCAAAUGGAAAUCAGUCCUAGGCGGACAGGUAUGGGAACUCUGGGAGAAGGACCUGGUUCAGCCUCCGCGUUUGAAGCACUGCGCAGUUGCCUGGUGCCUCAGGAGCAGAAAAUACCUCUCCAUGCGCACCCACAACCCCAUUCUGCUCACGUAAAGAUACGGCAGAAGCCUGCUCUAGUCCGCCUGCCAGAGCUGCCGGCUCUGGAUGUGGCACCUCCAGCCGAUCCAUUACAAUAGGAGCUGAAUUCAACACCAGCUGUGGCUGGCAGCAACUGGAAGGCUGUUAUUUGUGUAACGAAAUUAAAAACCUCUUUAAACUAAA
This is a long non-coding RNA of Vidua chalybeata, 595 nucleotides long. RefSeq lists it as uncharacterized. NCBI's taxonomy places the organism in Eukaryota, Metazoa, Chordata, Aves, Passeriformes, Viduidae. The record is from RefSeq and is a predicted model, not a curated record. The transcript is spliced from 2 exons.